GAUUUCGUCUGUAGACGUUGUGCUGGUAAGACGUGUGUGCGCCAAGAAGUGUGUUUGUCAUCUGUCUUGUCACGAGGUUGAUUAACUUCGUAUGUCAGGAGUGUAUACAACAAGGAAGGAGGUCGGGUUUAGCACCUGCGUCCCUACAUGCGUGCACUACCAACUGGUAGAGAAACAUCUAUCACCCAAACUAGCUCCUCACAGCGGCUCUCGAGUCCGACCUGUGCCCGACGAAGCGCCUGAGAAGUCCAUGUGACACCAGUUCAUCUCCAGGUCUGUCUGUCUCAGAAAAGGAUGAAAACCGCGAAGGCGUGCGGUCCGGCACAGCAGUGUAUACAACAAGGAAGGAGGUCGGGUUUAGCACCGGCGUCCCUACAUGCGUGCACUACCAACUGGUAGAGAAACAUCUAUCACCCAAACUAGCUCCUCACAGCGGCUCUCGAGUCCGACCUGUGCCCGACGAAGCGUCUGAGAAGUCCAUGUGACACCAGUUCAUCUCCGGGUCUGUGUCUCAGAAAAGGAUGAAGACCGCGAAGGCGUGCGGUCCGGCACAGGUAGGGGCUGGUCCGUUUCAACGCGUUCAUUGGAGGCAUAGGGUAUCAGGAAUUAUUCGGUCUUGGCAUUAAAGGUAAUAUAGAGGUAGAACUCGGAGGAGAGUUCAUAAUCAGAAUAGAAUAGGCUCACGUAGAACUCGUAAAUGGCAGAAAUAGGCUCACGUGGAACUUUAAUAGCAGAAAUAUGCUAACAUAUGGUUUGUAUUCGCCAGAGAAAGUGUCGGGAGGAGAAUACCUAGUGCCAAACAAACAUAUGGUUUGUGUUCACCAGAGGAAGUGUCGGGAGAACCCCUAUGGUCUGAGAUAGAUGUAGGGUAGGGGAUUCAUUCAUUUCUGAGGUAAAUUUGACCCUCCUUGGGUAAAUCCAGCUUGCGUUGGGAUUAGGUGCACCAGGUUGAGUGAUACCAGGUAGGGUUGUUAGGCUAGUGGGAUAUUGCGUUGUGCGAGCGAGUUGUUGGGUGCCGUGACAUUUCAGCUCUAGCAGUUUCAUUUGUGCUGUGAAGCAGUGUACCAUUAAAUGUAAAGCAUCAAUUAAAUGUGUUAGUGUUGAACGUCACGGCACCCUACAUUCGGUGUUUAAUAAGUAAUGUUUCUGAAUGUUGUAAGGUUUGUUGUGUAAAGGCUUGAAAAUGUUUUAAUGAAUUUUUUUGUUGGCUGUUAAAUUAUCCGUAAAUAAAAAUGUUAGUUAAAUUUUUUUCUGUGAAAUUACCGUAAUCGUCACUAUCUGGUGCACAUGCUAGGUACAGCACCACACGCCAGUGAAGUCCUUAAGUAAUACACGUAGCUGCAUUUAAUUUGUUACUUUAUCAUAGAAAAGGUCUUUGAUAUGGAUAAAGAAUGAUCUAAGGACAAAAUUGUGAAGAAUGUUUCUGAUUGAUGAUUGAUUGCAGCAGUGUAUACAACAAGGAAGGAGGUCGGGUUUAGCACCUGCGUCCCUACAUGUGGGCACUACCAACUUGGUAGAGAAACAUCUAUCACCCAAACUAGCUCCUCACAGCGGCUCUCGAGUCCGACCUGUGCCCGACGAAGCGUCUGAGAAGUCCAUGUGACACCAGUUCAUCUCCAGGUCUGUGUCUCAGAAAAGGAUGAAGACCGCGAAGGCGUGCGGUCCGGCACAGGUCCUGCCACUGCUGAAGGGAGAACCAAACCAGUGUGUCGUAACUACCCCUAACCUGCGUCAGGAAACUUGCUCUUCUUGAACUGGAAGAUGCCGUCUCGCUGCAACUUCCACGGAGGACAGCUCUGCCCUGAUGCCACUGCUGAAGGGAGAACCAAACCAGCGUGUCGUAACAACCCCUAACCUGCGUCAGGAAACUGGCACUUCUUGCACUGGAAGGUGCCGUUUCUCUGCACCUUCCAUGGAAGACGGCUCUGCCCUGACGACCCUUGUUGCCAUCUAGGGAGGGUGGACAUACUGCCUCGCUUCACCUUUCUCGGAGGAACUGGAGCCUGCCUCGCACCAGGUCUGCCCUGACAAAACCGGUUUCCAUCACGGGGGGGGAAGACACGCUGCCUCGUUUCACCUUCUUUGGAGGAAUUGGACCCUGCUUAACACAAUCUCGCCUGGUAACACGUGGUGUCAUCCAGGGAGAGGACAUUUGCCUCGCUGCACCUUCCACGUUGGAAUUGAACUGUUCCUUGACAACACUCGGUGCCAUCCAGGGAGGGAAGGAGGACAGACUGCCUCGCUUCAUUUAACUUAACCUAACCAAUACAUGUUGCCAAUCACUCUUGUAAUGUUGUUAUUCCUUCCAUGUUCUGUGACGUACCCUUUUAGUAAUUAAUAAAUCAUGAUUAGGAAAAUUGA
RNAcentral lists this long non-coding RNA (2361 nucleotides) under Portunus trituberculatus (swimming crab). Its description in RNAcentral is "uncharacterized LOC123518353, transcript variant X1". Lineage: Eukaryota; Metazoa; Arthropoda; Malacostraca; Decapoda; Portunidae. The record is from RNAcentral.